Molecule: ribosomal RNA, 765 nt
Filed under: uncultured Weissella sp.
Lineage: Bacteria; Bacillati; Bacillota; Bacilli; Lactobacillales; Lactobacillaceae
Description: bacterial SSU rRNA
Rfam family: Bacterial small subunit ribosomal RNA
Source: RNAcentral
GAACGGGUGAGUAACACGUGGGAAACCUACCUCUUAGCAGGGGAUAACAUUUGGAAACAGAUGCUAAUACCGUAUAACAAUGACAACCGCAUGGUUGUUAUUUAAAAGAUGGUUCUGCUAUCACUAAGAGAUGGUCCCGCGGUGCAUUAGCUAGUUGGUAAGGUAAUGGCUUACCAAGGCGAUGAUGCAUAGCCGAGUUGAGAGACUGAUCGGCCACAAUGGGACUGAGACACGGCCCAUACUCCUACGGGAGGCAGCAGUAGGGAAUCUUCCACAAUGGGCGAAAGCCUGAUGGAGCAACGCCGCGUGUGUGAUGAAGGGUUUCGGCUCGUAAAACACUGUUGUAAGAGAAGAAUGACAUUGAGAGUAACUGUUCAAUGUGUGACGGUAUCUUACCAGAAAGGAACGGCUAAAUACGUGCCAGCAGCCGCGGUAAUACGUAUGUUCCAAGCGUUAUCCGGAUUUAUUGGGCGUAAAGCGAGCGCAGACGGUUAUUUAAGUCUGAAGUGAAAGCCCUCAGCUCAACUGAGGAAUUGCUUUGGAAACUGGAUGACUUGAGUGCAGUAGAGGAAAGUGGAACUCCAUGUGUAGCGGUGAAAUGCGUAGAUAUAUGGAAGAACACCAGUGGCGAAAGCGGCUUUCUGGACUGUAACUGACGUUGAGGCUCGAAAGUGUGGGUAGCAAACAGGAUUAGAUACCCUGGUAGUCCACACCGUAAACGAUGAGUGCUAGGUGUUUGAGGGUUUCCGCCCUUAAGUGCCGCAG